Long non-coding RNA from Aethalodelphis obliquidens (Pacific white-sided dolphin), 1790 nucleotides. RefSeq lists it as uncharacterized. The record is from RefSeq and is a predicted model, not a curated record. The transcript is spliced from 3 exons. Lineage: Eukaryota; Metazoa; Chordata; Mammalia; Artiodactyla; Delphinidae.
GGUCCCGCGCGCUGGCACUUCCGGUACCUCUCUUCUCUAGCCAGCAAAGAGAAGUGCCAAGUCAGUUCCGGCAGAGAGCGCGGUGAGAAGCGGAUCGCGGCCUUCUAGCCCGGGGCCCUCCAGGCCCUCCGGCCUCUGGUCGGCAGGUGAACUGGGGGGCCCCCGGGACAAGCUCAGGCUGUGUCUUACCGAGCCCCAGAGCCCUCGCCGCAGCCGCCCACUGGCAGGGCCCGAGCCUGGAAGCAGCAACGAACUGCUCCCCCACCCCCACCUCCGCGACCUAAUGGCGGCGGCCCCUCGGAGCCCAGAUCCCGCCCACCGCCGGGUCUCUUGACCCCACGCUGCAGGGGUCAGGCGAAGCCUCCGGCAGGCCACCGAGGACGUGGCGCCUUUGGGCGUCGGGCGUGGCAGGGCGAGAAGAAUGGCGGCCACUGGAACGCUGCAGAGGGCCGUUAGAGCCUCGAGGGCCUGGGAAGGGGGGGUCUACGUGGACGCCAGCUCAGCUACCCUUAGGCCUUGGAGCCCGCGCGGAUCCGGGACCUGAGGUGACCUCUCUGCCCCAGUUGGACGAGACCUCACCUCGUCCGGACAACGACGGACAAAGGCCUUAACGGGCCCGGAAGCAUGUUUUAGGAAUUACUUGAUGCCAGUGAAGUUUGCAGAGCACAGGCUCCAGACGCGCAGGCUCAGCGGCCAUGGCUCACGGGCCCAGCCACUCCGCGGCAUGUGGGAUCUUCCCAGACCGGGCCACGAACCCGUGUCCCCUGCAUCCGCAGGCAGACUCCCAACCACUGCGCCACCAGGGAAGCCCGCCAGUGAAGUUUUAAAUGACCUUUCUUGUGAUGAAGACCUAUGAAAAGGGAAUUUAAAUUUCACGGCGCUACCAAUAACGCUUGAAGAGGCAAAUAGCUCAUGGGUGCCUCCUGCUUCACCACGCAAAACAGGAUCUUGCCGACUUCACUUGACAUAACCCAAGAGUCCCAAACAAAGGGUCAGGCUCUAACUGCAAUAGGACAGACUGCCAUUAAACAGGAGGAAGAACUUUCUGACAGUAUCAACAUGAAACCUUAAGGACAAGGGAUCAUGGAAGACAGGAUGUUUAAGAAGAGAAACAAACUGAGGUUUGGAGCCAAACAGGCCCAGAUGGGGAAACUGAGGCAAAGAGCAGUUGCUUGCCUGCUGUGACGCAGCUGGUCGGAAGCAGAGCAGCCUAAAUCCAGAACUCCUGCUCGUUAUCCUGCUCCUUCUGCCCUGUGAUGUCCGUGAGAUCAGACAGAAGGACGGGAGAAGGUCUGGCUUUAUGGGGAAGAGGCUUCCAGAAGAGCAAUGAGCAAUUCCUCUCCAUCUCCACACAAAACAAGAAAAACUCUUGCACAGUAGCAUGAGUUUUAAGUUAUGACCGGAAGAAGGACUUUCUGACAGUAUCUUUCAAGAUAAAAACCUGCUCUCAGGAAAAGAUAUGGUCUCAGUUUCUAACCAUUAAAAUCAUAGAUGGUCAGUGUUGUUAAGACUUAAAGACCAUGAGUCCACCUCCUUCCAUGUGAUAAACGUGAUAAGGGAGCAAAGGGGGAACAGCCCUCACCGGCAGCCAACCAUUCUAGAUACUAACUUUGUGGUGCCAGAAGGGACCCGAGGCCAAGAAGUCCAGAGCCAAGUAGAAACAGGCCCCUAAUUUAAAGUACGCUGGGAGAAGGUAGCUCGCAGUAAAAUAGGUAGGAGGCACUUUUUUUUUUUUUUGCGGUACGCGGGCCUCUCACUGUUGUGGCCUCUCCCGUUGUGGAGCACAGGCU